UGCUGGAGGAAGAGCAACCACCUAGCCCUGCCGGAGGAGGCGCACCCCCUGCCCCUGCUAAUGGAAGCGCACCCAUCUGGCCCUGACUGCUGGAGAUCCGGAAUUGGAGGAAGGAGAAAGAGCACCUACCUCGCCAUGGCCCUGCUGGAGGAGACGCACCCACCCACCUGGCCCUGCUGGAGGACACGCACCCACCCACCUGGCCCUGCUGGCCCACCUUGCCCUGCUGGCCCACCUUGCCCUGCUGGAGGAGGCGCACCCACCUUACACUGCAGGAGGUGGCGGCGCACCCACCUGGCCCUGGCUGCUGGAGGAAGAGCACCCACCUGCCCCUGCCGGAGGAGGAAGAGCUCUCACCUGCCCCUGCCGGAGGAGGCGCACCCACCUGGCCCUGCUGAGGAGGCACACCCUUUGCCACUGCUGGCGAAGGAGCACACACCUGGCCCUGCUGGAGGAGGCACACCCAUCUGCGCCUGCUGGAGGAAGAGCAUCCACCUGCCCCUGCCGGAGGAGGCGCACCCCUGCCCCUGCUAAUGGAAGCGCACCCAUCUGGCCCUGACUGCUGGAGAUCCGGAAUUGGAGGAAGGAGAAAGAGCACCUACCUCGC
This is a long non-coding RNA of Drosophila ananassae, 607 nucleotides long. RefSeq lists it as uncharacterized. NCBI's taxonomy places the organism in Eukaryota, Metazoa, Arthropoda, Insecta, Diptera, Drosophilidae. The record is from RefSeq and is a predicted model, not a curated record. The transcript is spliced from 3 exons.